RNAcentral lists this ribosomal RNA (497 nucleotides) under uncultured bacterium. RNAcentral's name for it is "partial 16S ribosomal RNA". It matches the Rfam family "Bacterial small subunit ribosomal RNA", at positions 28 to 507 of the family's 1533-position model. The record is from RNAcentral.
GAUGAACGCUGGCGGCGUGCCUAAUACAUGCAAGUCGAGCGAACAGACGAGGAUCUUGCUCCUCUGACGUUAGCGGCGGACGGGUGAGUAACACGUGGAUAACCUACCUAUAAGACUGGGAUAACUUCGGGAAACCGGAGCUAAUACCGGAUAAUAUAUUGAACCUCAUGGUUCAAUAGUGAAAGCCGUUUUUGCUGUCACUUAUAGAUGGAUCCGCGCCGCAUUAGCUAGUUGGUAAGGUAACGGCUUACCAAGGCAACGAUGCGUAGCCGACCUGAGAGGGUGAUCGGCCACACUGGAACUGAGACACGGUCCAGACUCCUACGGGAGGCAGCAGUAGGGAAUCUUCCGCAAUGGGCGAAAGCCUGACGGAGCAACGCCGCGUGAGUGAUGAAGGUCUUCGGAUCGUAAAACUCUGUUAUUAGGGAAGAACAAAUGUGUAAGUAACUAUGCACGUCUUGACGGUACCUAAUCAGAAAGCCACGGCUAACUACGUG